This is a long non-coding RNA of Octopus sinensis (East Asian common octopus), 143 nucleotides long. RefSeq lists it as uncharacterized. NCBI's taxonomy places the organism in Eukaryota, Metazoa, Mollusca, Cephalopoda, Octopoda, Octopodidae. The record is from RefSeq and is a predicted model, not a curated record. The transcript is spliced from 3 exons.
UGUGAAAGGCGGCGAGCUGGCAGAAACGUUAGCACGCCGGGCGAAAUGCUUAGCAGUAUUUUAUUUACCGUUACGUUCUGAGUUCAAAUUCCGCCGAGAUCGACUUUGCCUUUUAUCCUUUCGGGGUAGAUAAAUUAAGUACC